AUGACCCACAGCACUAGGGGGGGGGCACAGGAUGUCCCCCUCAUGCUCUUUUUUUCAAGGGAAAGAACCAUAAGCUCAGGGGAGACCACUCAUUGUGGUGCUAUACCAGCCUUGUUGGAGGUGCAAUGCAGUCAGUGUGUAGUGACUUCUCUUACUCUUCUAAUGCACACUAGCCUCACAACACUGAUCAGGUAUAAAUGUCACUGGAAAAGGUGAUUCAAGCUUCAGGUUAAUCAGCAUUGAAAGUGAAAAUGAGAACUACCCAAGUGACUUUAUCUUCAAGCAAUUUGGCAAGAGUGGUGGACUUGUGACAACCCUUGAAGCACUCUCCUGGGUUGACUUAGCACUGAAAACAAAAAGAAGUUCCCAUACUUCCAGGAAAUGGCUGACUGUUUUAGAGCCAUAGUAAAAAGUAGCCAUCAGAACCAGUUUCAACCUGAUUCAAUAAUAAAUGACAGCUCUCUACAGCCUUGGGAACA
Molecule: long non-coding RNA, 479 nt
Filed under: Felis catus (domestic cat)
Lineage: Eukaryota; Metazoa; Chordata; Mammalia; Carnivora; Felidae
Description: lncRNA (ENSFCAG00000052749.1)
Source: RNAcentral